RNAcentral lists this ribosomal RNA (252 nucleotides) under uncultured bacterium. RNAcentral's name for it is "partial 16S ribosomal RNA". It matches the Rfam family "Bacterial small subunit ribosomal RNA", at positions 524 to 776 of the family's 1533-position model. The record is from RNAcentral.
UACGUAGGGGGCAAGCGUUGUCCGGAAUUAUUGGGCGUAAAGCGCAUGUAGGCGGUUCGGUAGUCUGUUGUGAAAGCUCCCGGCUCAACUGGGAGAGGUCAACGGAAACUGCCGGGCUUGAGUGUGGUAGAGGUAGCUGGAAUUCCCGGUGUAGCGGUGAAAUGCGUAGAUAUCGGGAGGAAUACCUAUGGCGAAAGCAGGCUACUGGACCAUCACUGACGCUGAUCUGCGAAAGCUAGGGGAGCAAACAGG